RNAcentral lists this ribosomal RNA (229 nucleotides) under uncultured bacterium. Its description in RNAcentral is "partial 16S ribosomal RNA". It matches the Rfam family "Bacterial small subunit ribosomal RNA", at positions 568 to 796 of the family's 1533-position model. The record is from RNAcentral.
UGCGCAGGCGGGCUUGUAAGUCAGUGGUGAAAUACUGCCGCUUAACGGUAGAACUGCCAUUGAUACUGCAAGUCUUGAAUAUGGUUGAGGUAGGCGGAAUGUGUCGUGUAGCGGUGAAAUGCAUAGAUAUGACACAGAACGCCGAUUGCGAAGGCAGCUUACUAAGCCAUUAUUGACGCUGAGGCACGAAAGCGUGGGGGGCGAACAGGAUUAGAUACCCUGGUAGUCC